UGAAAUACCACCCUUUAAUGUUUGAUGUUCUAACGUGGGCCCCUAAUCGGGGUUGCGGACAGUGUCUGGUGGGUAGUUUGACUGGGGCGGUCUCCUCCUAAAGAGUAACGGAGGAGCACGAAGGUUGGCUAAUCCUGGUCGGACAUCAGGAGGUUAGUGCAAUGGCAUAAGCCAGCUUGACUGCGAGCGUGACGGCGCGAGCAGGUGCGAAAGCAGGUCAUAGUGAUCCGGUGGUUCUGAAUGGAAGGGCCAUCGCUCAACGGAUAAAAGGUACUCCGGGGAUAACAGGCUGAUACCGCCCAAGAGUUCAUAUCGACGGCGGUGUUUGGCACCUCGAUGUCGGCUCAUCACAUCCUGGGGCUGAAGUAGGUCCCAAGGGUAUGGCUGUUCGCCAUUUAAAGUGGUACGCGAGCUGGGUUUAGAACGUCGUGAGACAGUUCGGUCCCUAUCUGCCGUGGGCGCUGGAGAACUGAGGGGGGCUGCUCCUAGUACGAGAGGACCGGAGUGGACGCAUCACUGGUGUUCGGGUUGUCAUGCCAAUGGCACUGCCCGGUAGCUAAAUGCGGAAGAGAUAAGUGCUGAAAGCAUCUAAGCACGAAACUUGCCCCGAGAUGAGUUCUCCCUGAGACUUAGAGUCUCCUGAAGGAACGUUGAAGACGACGACGUUGAUAGGCCGGGUGUGUAAGCGCAGCGAUGCGUUGAGCUAACCGGUACUAAUGAACCGUGAGGCUUAACCUUACAACGCCGAAG
Molecule: ribosomal RNA, 750 nt
Filed under: Escherichia coli
Lineage: Bacteria; Pseudomonadati; Pseudomonadota; Gammaproteobacteria; Enterobacterales; Enterobacteriaceae
Description: partial 23S ribosomal RNA
Rfam family: Bacterial large subunit ribosomal RNA
Source: RNAcentral